UGAAGCAGAAUGAUGUCCUUCCUAUUGA
Molecule: small RNA, 28 nt
Filed under: Bombyx mori (domestic silkworm)
Lineage: Eukaryota; Metazoa; Arthropoda; Insecta; Lepidoptera; Bombycidae
Description: ovarian small RNA-30928
Source: RNAcentral